This 30-nucleotide non-coding RNA is filed under the name Mus musculus (house mouse). The record is from RNAcentral. Lineage: Eukaryota; Metazoa; Chordata; Mammalia; Rodentia; Muridae.
UAAGCCAAGAGAAUUUUCCUUAUCAAGAAG